CAUUAAGAAGCUUUCAAACUAAGCAAUAGCCUUUUAAGCUAUAGAUCGGUGAUUUACCACACCCUUAAUGA
This 71-nucleotide transfer RNA is filed under the name Pseudohynobius flavomaculatus (yellow-spotted salamander). RNAcentral's name for it is "tRNA-Lys". The record is from RNAcentral. RNAcentral also lists the same sequence under 1 other name. Lineage: Eukaryota; Metazoa; Chordata; Amphibia; Caudata; Hynobiidae.